This 1010-nucleotide long non-coding RNA is filed under the name Glycine max (soybean). RNAcentral describes it as "long non-coding RNA (GMAX_LNC000886)". The record is from RNAcentral. Lineage: Eukaryota; Viridiplantae; Streptophyta; Magnoliopsida; Fabales; Fabaceae.
GAGAAUAACAAAAGUCAUGGGAGGGCAAGAACCUGACCCGUGCAAAACAGAAUUAUCUGAAUCUGUAGUUUGUGAAAUCACAUCUAUUCUUAUUGUAAUAAGUAACUAUGAAUUGAGGGAUCGGGUCUCGUCAAAGAAAUCAGUAUGAACAGAGGCUCUACAAGCGAGAAGAUCUGCACGAGUGUUUUCUUCUCUAAAGAUAUGUCUUACAAAAGAAUUUGUUUAGUUAAUUCUAUAUACAAUUGCACCACCUAUUCUUAAUUGUGCAAGGAACCAAAUCAAUGCCCCUAAAAGAUUGGACCACCAAAGUUGAGUCACAUUCCAGUCACAACCUCCUCCGCGUUAUUUCAAGCGCCAAAACAGCACCCAUCAACUCAGCCACAAAGGAGAUUUUAUUCUCCAAAUUUUGAGAGAAACAACCAAUGGAAAUAGCUAGGUGAUUCCUGAAAAUACAACCACAACCUGCAAUGUUAAGGGGCUCCCUCUAGCGGAACCAUACGUGUUGCACUUCACACCCAACCCCUUAAGGGAGGAUUCUAAUGGACAAAUUCAUGCAUUGCUAGAGAUUAUGGUUUUACCAAUGAUCAUAGCCAUAGCUGAUUGAACAAAAAUACUCUUGUUGUUGAGUUUUUUUUUUUUUUUUUCUGCAGUGCCAUAUAGACCAAAUGGAAAAUAUGGUGUGACUGCCAAAGCGGUUUCCUGCAUGUGCCUAGACCAACCGGAUUGAACCAAAGAUAGGAGCUCUAGAACAUAAUUUUUGUUAUUGUUUCGAUUAAAAAGGAUUUGAAGCCAGGACCAGAUUCUGUUAGAAAAAGGACAGUGGAGGAUUAAUUAAGUACUGCUCACUAGUUUCAUAAUUAUUGCCACAUACUUGUACAUGGAGAUGGUGUAGCAACCCUUCUCCCAAAGCUUGUCAUCCGUUGGCAGCUUCCUUUUAAUGAUGCGCUAGACAAAAAAUGAAGCUGAAGGCGAAAUAUGGGGCUGCCAAAGUGACUUGAAGGGAGGCUCAU